GCGGAUUAAAACCGCUUCUGUUUC
Molecule: small nuclear RNA, 24 nt
Filed under: Arabidopsis thaliana (thale cress)
Lineage: Eukaryota; Viridiplantae; Streptophyta; Magnoliopsida; Brassicales; Brassicaceae
Description: snRNA_00557
Source: RNAcentral